AAUUAUUCUCUUUAUUUGGUUUCCAAUUCUAUUAGGAAAAGGAUUGGAAUAGUAAUCCUAUUUGGAGUUGGUUUUGGCUUUGUAAGGAAAAGCACAACUCUAUAAAUAGAGGAUGGUUUUAAGAGAAUAAUUCAGAUUGCUCAUUAGUAUUGUCUUUGAAAGACAUUAGGACAUAAGAGAGGUUUUUUGAGAGAGCUUUCAACAAGAGAGAAAAGAG
RNAcentral lists this long non-coding RNA (217 nucleotides) under Solanum tuberosum (potato). RNAcentral describes it as "long non-coding RNA (STUB_LNC001638)". Lineage: Eukaryota; Viridiplantae; Streptophyta; Magnoliopsida; Solanales; Solanaceae. The record is from RNAcentral.